UGGGGAAUAUUGGACAAUGGGCGGAAGCCUGAUACAGCCAUGCCGCGUGUGUGAAGAAGGCCUUUUGGUUGUAAAGCACUUUAAGCGAGGAGGAGGCUACUUGGAUUAAUACUCUAGGAUUGUGGACGUUACUCGCAGAAUAAGCACCGGCUAACUCUGUGCCAGCAGCCGAGGUAAUACAGAGGGUGCGAGCGUUAAUCGGAUUUACUGGGCGUAAAGCGUGCGUAGGCGGCUUCUUAAGUCGGAUGUGAAAUCCCUGAGCUUAACUUAGGAAUUGCAUUCGAUACUGGGAAGCUAGAGUAUGGGAGAGGAUGGUAGAAUUCCAGGUGUAGCGGUGAAAUGCGUAGAGAUCUGGAGGAAUACCGAUGGCGAAGGCAGCCAUCUGGCCUAAUACUGACGCUGAGGUACGAAAGCAUGGGGAGCAAACAGG
This 430-nucleotide ribosomal RNA is filed under the name bacterium. RNAcentral's name for it is "partial 16S ribosomal RNA". It matches the Rfam family "Bacterial small subunit ribosomal RNA", at positions 355 to 776 of the family's 1533-position model. The record is from RNAcentral.